AACUUUUGACAAUGGAUCACUUGGUUCUGGCAUCGAUGAAGAACGCAGCGAAAUGCGAUAAGUAAUGUGAAUUGCAGCAUUCAGUGAAUCAUCGAAUCUUUGAACGCACAUUGCGCCCCUCGGUAUUCCGAGGGGCAUACCUGUUCGAGCGUCAUUGCACCCCUCAAGCGUAGCUUGGUCUUGGGUCCUCGUCCCCUGGGCGUACCCGAAAAGCAUUGGCGGUCCGGUGUGACUUUAAGCGUAGUAAAUAUCCCCCGCUUUGAAAGCUUGCCCCGUGGCCGCCAGACAACCCUGAAAUAUAUUAUCAACGAUUGACCUCGGAUCAGGUAGGGAUACCCGCUGAACUUAAGCAUAUCAAUAAGCGGAGGCU
This 370-nucleotide unclassified non-coding RNA is filed under the name uncultured Lecanoromycetes. RNAcentral's name for it is "sequence contains ITS2". The stretch from base 1 to 154 matches the Rfam family "5.8S ribosomal RNA". Lineage: Eukaryota; Fungi; Ascomycota; Lecanoromycetes. The record is from RNAcentral.